GCCGCUCUAGGCCAACCCUCGAAGGCCGAGGUCCUCCGACGUUGACGUGCUCCGCCCCAGCGGUGCGUUUGCCGGGUGGCGCGUGCGCGUCUUGCUCCGCUGCGGGCGGUUAACGGUCGCGCUCGCGCCGCUCUUCCCUCUCUCCCUCCCCCUCCCCCCCCUCAGCCUCUGCUCGCGCGGGGCUGCCGGGGUUCGGUGCCUUCGAGAAGUUUCCCUCGCUCAGGGCUGAGGUGACCGUUAGGGAGUCUCGACAGCCCCCAUGCACCUGCCGCGUCAGCCUUCCACGGGAGUCUCGUUUCCUUAAGAAAUCGGAAUUCAGCCACGAUUCAUCCUUAGGAGGAGCCAAGUCCAAACUCCAAAGACCGGGAGCUGACUUAAAGUUCUUUACUGGAGUCUGCAUGCUUUGUAAAAGACUGUGCAGAAUCAGCUGUAUUUCCAGAAGCAGCAAAGGACAAAGUGAAUUUUUAGUUACAGUCUACAUAACAGAAUUUUUGUAGGUGACAUAACAUGAUCACAAAAUAACUUAAAACUAUGUUUACAGUGUGCACUCAAAACAUAUUCCUGUGUUGAUGAUACAUUUGGAAAAUGAAUAGAAUUUAGAUCACUUUCUUUUUGAAGCACUUACUCCUAAAGUGCUUUGACAAAUUCAUUUGACUAAAUGAUAUAAUACAGAUGCAAGGAGGCAAUGCAAGACUUCUUCAGAUGAUUUUAC
Molecule: long non-coding RNA, 712 nt
Filed under: Apteryx rowi (Okarito brown kiwi)
Lineage: Eukaryota; Metazoa; Chordata; Aves; Apterygiformes; Apterygidae
Description: lncRNA (ENSARWG00000003159.1)
Source: RNAcentral